ACUCCUACGGGAGGCAGCAGUGAGGAAUAUUGCACAAUGGAGGAAACUCUGAUGCAGCAACGCCGCGUGGAGGAUGACGCAUUUCGGUGUGUAAACUCCUUUUAAGAGGGAAGAUUAUGACGGUACCUCUUGAAUAAGCACCGGCUAACUCCGUGCCAGCAGCCGCGGUAAUACGGAGGGUGCAAGCGUUACUCGGAAUCACUGGGCGUAAAGGGUGCGUAGGCUGACUUUUAAGUCAGGCGUG
Molecule: ribosomal RNA, 244 nt
Filed under: uncultured bacterium
Lineage: Bacteria
Description: partial 16S ribosomal RNA
Rfam family: Bacterial small subunit ribosomal RNA
Source: RNAcentral